RNAcentral lists this ribosomal RNA (480 nucleotides) under uncultured bacterium. Its description in RNAcentral is "bacterial SSU rRNA". It matches the Rfam family "Bacterial small subunit ribosomal RNA", at positions 903 to 1397 of the family's 1533-position model. The record is from RNAcentral.
AAAUGAAUAGACGGGGGCUCGCACAAGCGGUGGAUCAUGUGGCUUAAUUCGUAGCUAAGCGAAAAACCUUACCAAGGCUAGAAACUAUACUGCACGCUCCGGGAAACCGGAGAAGCCUUCGAGGGUGUAUAGCAGGUGAUGCAUGGCCGUCGUCAGUUCGUGGCUUGAGCUGUUCCCUUAAGUGGGGAAACGAACGCAACCCUCGUUGCCUGUUACAAGUGUCAGGCGAGACUGCUCCCUCACGGGAGAGGAAGGUGAGGAUGACGCCAGGUCAGCAUGUCCCUUGAUGCCUUGGGCUGCACACGUGAUACAAUGGGUGGUACAAUGGGACGCAAUACCGCAAGGUGGAGCAAAUCCCCAAAACCAUCCUCAAUUCGGAUUGGGGUCUGCAACUCGACCCCAUGAAGCUGGAAUCGCUAGUAAUCGUGAAUCAGCAUCGUCACGGUGAAUACGUUCCCGAGCCUUGUACACACCGCCCGU